This 954-nucleotide ribosomal RNA is filed under the name Fowleria isostigma. RNAcentral's name for it is "12S ribosomal RNA". It matches the Rfam family "Bacterial small subunit ribosomal RNA". Lineage: Eukaryota; Metazoa; Chordata; Actinopteri; Kurtiformes; Apogonidae. The record is from RNAcentral.
CAAAGGCUUGGUCCUGACUUUACUGUCAACUGUAGCUAGAUUUACACAUGCAAGUAUCCGCACCCCUGUGAGAAUGCCCCACAGCUCCCUGCCCGGGAGCAAGGAGCCGGUAUCAGGCACUUCCUGCCCAGAACAGCCCACGACGCCUUGCUUAGCCACACCCUCAAGGGACCUCAGCAGUGAUAAAUAUUAAGCCAUGAGUGAAAACUUGACUUAGUUAAAGCUAGAAGGGCCGGUAAAACUCGUGCCAGCCACCGCGGUUAUACGAGUGACCCAAGCUGACAGUCCCCGGCGUAAAGAGUGGUUAAGAGCCCCCACACACUAAAGCCGAACAUCUCCAAAGUUGUAUAAUACAUUCGAAGACUUGAAGCUCAACCACGAAAGUGGCUUUAAACUCUUUGAACCCACGAAAGCUAGGAAACAAACGGGGAUUAGAUACCCCCUUAUGCCUAGCCUUAAACUUAGAUAGAGCAUUAUUUAUUCUAUCCGCCAGGGUACUACGAGCACCAGCUUGAAACCCAAAGGACUUGGCGGCACUUCACACCCACCUAGAGGAGCCUGUUCUAGAACCGAUGACCCCCGUUCAACCUCACCUUUUCUUGCUUUUCCCGCCUAUAUACCACCGUCGUCAGCUCACCCUGUGAAGGGCCCCUAGUGAGCAAGGCUGGCACAGCCUAAAACGUCAGGUCGAGGUGUAGCGUAUGAGAAGGGAAGAAAUGGGCUACAAUUGCUUCAACAGUUAAUACGAAUUGAUUGCUGAAAAUGCACACAUGAAGGAGGAUUUAGAAGUAAGGAGGGAAGCAGAGCGUCCCCCUGAAAUGGUUCUGAAGCGUGCACACACCGCCCGUCACUCUCCCCAAGUUAAGAUGCCCAAAGUAAAUAAACACAAAACACCUACAAAGGGGAGGCAAGUCGUAACAUGGUAAGUGUACCGGAAGGUGCACUUGGAAAAAU